Molecule: small RNA, 564 nt
Filed under: Pan troglodytes (chimpanzee)
Lineage: Eukaryota; Metazoa; Chordata; Mammalia; Primates; Hominidae
Description: processed transcript
Source: RNAcentral
CCACAGGGGCCUCCUGUCAGGAGGGACCUUUAGCCAGAUGGGGCCCAUCCAGCUGGUGGGCCCCGGACAUAGGAGUGACCAUCUCCAGAGACGGUGACAGCGGUAGGGGGAGCUGCCCCUGUGGACCCCACAAAUGCUGGGUCCUAAGAAGGGCCCCGAGCAAGGCCUGCGGUUCGGGAGACCCGAGCGGCGGGCUGGCACUCAGGCCCCUGUGCCCUGCAGGUUCUGCGGGGAGUGCCUCCAGCCCUGCCUGCAGGUGCCAUCCCCGCUGUGCCCACUCUGCCGCCUGCCCUUCGACCCCAAGAAGGUGGACAAGGCCACCCACGUGGAGAAGCAGCUCUCGUCCUACAAAGCGCCCUGUCGAGGCUGCAACAAAAAGCCUUCCCCUGCCAGCUGAUACCGGGGACGGCGCUGGGGGCUCCAAGGUCACAAGGGCCACGGGCACAGUCAAGGACAUCUCAGGGCCGAGCACCCUCCAGCUGCCAGGAGGGCCAGAGCCGGGCUGAUGGGCACUGCCACACCCACAUCAGAGCAGCCUAAGGGCCUGCAGCUUGUCAUGGGCCU